AGUCGAGCGGGGAGAUGUAGCUUGCUACAUUUCCUAGCGGCGGACGGGUGAGUAAUGCUUAGGAAUCUGCCUAUUAGUGGGGGACAACAUUCCGAAAGGAAUGCUAAUACCGCAUACGUCCUACGGGAGAAAGCAGGGGAUCUUCGGACCUUGCGCUAAUAGAUGAGCCUAAGUCAGAUUAGCUAGUUGGUGGGGUAAAGGCCUACCAAGGCGACGAUCUGUAGCGGGUCUGAGAGGAUGAUCCGCCACACUGGGACUGAGACACGGCCCAGACUCCUACGGGAGGCAGCAGUGGGGAAUAUUGGACAAUGGGCGCAAGCCUGAUCCAGCCAUGCCGCGUGUGUGAAGAAGGCCUUUUGGUUGUAAAGCACUUUAAGCGAGGAGGAGGCUACUUGGAUUAAUACUCUAGGAUAGUGGACGUUACUCGCAGAAUAAGCACUGGCUAACUCUGUGCCAGCAGCCGCGGUAAUACAGAGGGUGCGAGCGUUAAUCGGAUUUACUGGGCGUAAAGCGUGCGUAGGCGGCUUUUUAAGUCGGAUGUGAAAUCCCUGAGCUUAACUUAGGAAUUGCAUUCGAUACUGGGAAGCUAGAGUAUGGGAGAGGAUGGUAGAAUUCCAGGUGUAGCGGUGAAAUGCGUAGAGAUCUGGAGGAAUACCGAUGGCGA
Molecule: ribosomal RNA, 664 nt
Filed under: uncultured bacterium
Lineage: Bacteria
Description: bacterial SSU rRNA
Rfam family: Bacterial small subunit ribosomal RNA
Source: RNAcentral